AAUUCGCCCUUAGAGUUUGAUCCUGGCUCAGGAUGAACGCUAGCUACAGGCUUAACACAUGCAAGUCGAGGGGCAGCAUGGUCUUAGCUUGCUAAGGCCGAUGGCGACCGGCGCACGGGUGAGUAACGCGUAUCCAACCUGCCUUACACUCUUGGACAGCCUUCUGAAAGGAAGAUUAAUACAAGAUGGCAUCAUGAGUCCGCAUGUUCACAUGAUUAAAGGUAUUCCGGUAGACGAUGGGGAUGCGUUCCAUUAGAUAGUAGGCGGGGUAACGGCCCACCUAGUCUUCGAUGGAUAGGGGUUCUGAGAGGAAGGUCCCCCACAUUGGAACUGAGACACGGUCCAAACUCCUACGGGAGGCAGCAGUGAGGAAUAUUGGUCAAUGGGCGAGAGCCUGAACCAGCCAAGUAGCGUGAAGGAUGACUGCCCUAUGGGUUGUAAACUUCUUUUAUAAAGGAAUAAAGUCGGGUAUGCAUACCCGUUUGCAUGUACUUUAUGAAUAAGGAUCGGCUAACUCCGUGCCAGCAGCCGCGGUAAUACGGAGGAUCCGAGCGUUAUCCGGAUUUAUUGGGUUUAAAGGGAGCGUAGAUGGAUGUUUAAGUCAGUUGUGAAAGUUUGCGGCUCAACCGUAAAAUUGCAGUUGAUACUGGAUAUCUUGAGUGCAGUUGAGGCAGGCGGAAUUCGUGGUGUAGCGGUGAAAUGCUUAGAUAUCACGAAGAACUCCGAUUGCGAAGGCAGCCUGCUAAGCUGCAACUGACAUUGAGGCUCGAAAGUGUGGGUAUCAAACAGGAUUAGAUACCCUGGUAGUCCACACGGUAAACGAUGAAUACUCGCUGUUUGCGAUAUACGGCAAGCGGCCAAGCGAAAGCGUUAAGUAUUCCACCUGGGGAGUACGCCGGCAACGGUGAAACUCAAAGGAAUUGAC
RNAcentral lists this ribosomal RNA (925 nucleotides) under uncultured bacterium. Its description in RNAcentral is "bacterial SSU rRNA". It matches the Rfam family "Bacterial small subunit ribosomal RNA", at positions 1 to 914 of the family's 1533-position model. The record is from RNAcentral.